Molecule: long non-coding RNA, 548 nt
Filed under: Medicago truncatula (barrel medic)
Lineage: Eukaryota; Viridiplantae; Streptophyta; Magnoliopsida; Fabales; Fabaceae
Description: lncRNA gene2135
Source: RNAcentral
CUUUAACUCUUUUAAUAAUUUGUCAACUAAAAAUAAGUAACACGAAUUGUUUCAAAGAAACGACAAUCCUUGUGGAUACAAUACUCUACUUUAUCACUUUAUUUUUUGAUAAACGAUUUGGUACACUUGUCUAAUCCGCACAUCAUUAACAUAAACAUAAAUCAAAUUGCAUAUGAUAUUAUCAAAGUACGAACAUUAUGACAUACAAAUAAAUUAUAUGUAACAUAAUUAUUUUACAUAUUGAUAGUUACCUUCUCAAGCACCUACAAACUAAAUUAACGCAUCGAGGUUUUUCUCUUUGAAGCCUACACCCAACUUGUAGUCUAUUUUCUAUACAAUCAAAGUCAUCUUUGCAAUGAAUACGUACUGCAAUGUCAAAUAACAAUAAAGUAUUUUUAUUAAAAGAGUAUGAAAUAUUAUGUGUAAUAUAAAUAAGAAAAUGAGAAAAUAAUGUCAAAAAUUACUUACUGCAGUCAUUUACCGCGACAUAUAUAGAAAGAAAGAUUAUCAAAGCAUAGACAAACUUGAAAAUGUGAGUCAUUUUUCCU